ACUGAUUUCUACACACUGUACAACUGUAAGGCUUCUCCCCAGUGGGUAUUCUUUAAUGUACUUUUAACUGACUUUUUGCUCCAAACUCUUUUCCACAUUCUGUACAGUUGUAAGGUUUCUCCCCAGUGUGUAUUUUUUCGUGUUGUUUUACGUAACUCUCUCU
Molecule: long non-coding RNA, 163 nt
Organism: Limulus polyphemus (Atlantic horseshoe crab)
Lineage: Eukaryota; Metazoa; Arthropoda; Merostomata; Xiphosura; Limulidae
Exons: 3
Source: RefSeq, a predicted model, not a curated record